UAUAUAUGAGUCCGGCUGGUAUACUAUCGGUAACACAGAGACAUCCAUGCUACCAAACUAUUUUCAAUGAUGCAGCUUCCAAAUCGACGAUCAGCUCUGUUAGACUUGAUCUACACAAUUGAAAGUAUUUGGAAACCAAAUUCCAUAACUUUUAAAAUCAUUUACCUAUCAUACGGAUAGUCUAAAAAUGAACGACUGAAAAUCCAAAUCUCAUAAAAUAUGAUGAUAAAAGACUUGAAUUUAAAAUCAGGGGUACUGAUCUUAUUUUAAAUUGUAAAAAAAAAAUUUAUAAAAAUUUUAUCAGAUUUAAAUUAUUUUACACUAUUAAAUUCACAAAGGCAUCACAUCGACCAUUGAAAUUGUCAAUUUUUAGACUUUUUAAUCACUAGCCAAAUAAUGUCGAAAAAUUAUGAAAUUUAAUUUCAAACACUUUUAAUAGUGUGUAUCAAGUCUAACAGAGCCGAUCGUCGAUUUGGAAGCUAUAUCAUUAAAAACAACUUGGUAACACGGAGGCCUCCGUGCUACCGAUAGUAUAGCAGCCUAGCACUAUAUAUAUAUAGUUCGGCUACUAUACUCUUAUAAGUACGAUCGCCAUCGUACUCAUAAGUCAUUUUCGAUGAUAGAGCUUCUAAAUCGACAAUCCAUACCGUUAAACAUUAUCUAGAGCAUUUAAAACUUUUAGAAAUCAAAAUUUAUAAUUUUUCGACAUAAUUUACCUUACGAUCAAAAGGUCACAAAAUUAACAAUUUCUAACGACCAGUAUGGGGAUAUUUGCUAGUUUAACGGUGUAAAAUAAUUGGAAUAGGUUGAUUUUUUGAUAGAAAAUUUUAUUCACUACCUAGAUAAAAAUUAAUAAUUUCGAUCUUAAAUUGAAGGAUCUGAUCAUCCAUUUUUAAUUAGGACGUCUUUCAAUUUUAAUUGUUCAUUUUAUGCUCACUUGAUGGACUUUAUUAUGAUUUCAAAAAAUUACGAAAUUUAUUUUUUAGUAGUUUUAAAUACUCUAAAUCAUAUUUAAUGGAGUAGAUCGUCGAUUCGGAAGCUCUAUCAUCGAAAAUAACUUAUGAGUACGAAAGGCUCUAUACUCAUAAAAGUAUAGUAGUCCUACUUUUAUAUAUA
RNAcentral lists this long non-coding RNA (1116 nucleotides) under Ananas comosus (pineapple). Its description in RNAcentral is "long non-coding RNA (ACOM_LNC040648)". Lineage: Eukaryota; Viridiplantae; Streptophyta; Magnoliopsida; Poales; Bromeliaceae. The record is from RNAcentral.